Molecule: ribosomal RNA, 184 nt
Filed under: Geobacillus stearothermophilus
Lineage: Bacteria; Bacillati; Bacillota; Bacilli; Caryophanales; Anoxybacillaceae
Also listed under: 3 other names
Description: partial 16S ribosomal RNA
Rfam family: Bacterial small subunit ribosomal RNA
Source: RNAcentral
AUGCCGCGGUGAAUACGUUCCCGGGCCUUGUACACACCGCCCGUCACACCACGAGAGCUUGCAACACCCGAAGUCGGUGAGGUAACCCGCAAGGGAGCCAGCCGCCGAAGGUGGGGCAAGUGAUUGGGGUGAAGUCGUAACAAGGUAGCCGUACCGGAAGGUGCGGCUGGAUCACCUCCUUUCU